CCUACGGGCGGUUGCAGUGGGGAAUUUUGGACAAUGGGGGCAACCCUGAUCCAGCCAUGCCGCGUGCGGGAAGAAGGCCUUCGGGUUGUAAACCGCUUUUGUCAGGGAAGAAAUCUUCCGAGCUAAUACCUUGGGAGGAUGACGGUACCUGAAGAAUAAGCACCGGCUAACUACGUGCCAGCAGCCGCGGUAAUACGUAGGGUGCAAGCGUGAAUCGGAAUGACUGGGGGGGUUGUGUGCGCCGGCGGUGGAAUCCCCGGGCUUAACCUGGGAACUGCACUUGUGACUGUACGGCUGGAGUACGGCAGAGGGGGAUGGAAUUCCGCGUGUAGCAGUGAAAUGCGUAGAUAUGCGGAGGAACACCGAUGGCGAAGGCAGUCCCCUGGGCCUGUACUGACGCUCAUGCACGAAAGCGUGGGGAGCAAACAGGAUUAGAUACCCUAGUAGUC
Molecule: ribosomal RNA, 449 nt
Filed under: uncultured bacterium
Lineage: Bacteria
Description: partial 16S ribosomal RNA
Rfam family: Bacterial small subunit ribosomal RNA
Source: RNAcentral